MicroRNA precursor from Catagonus wagneri (Chacoan peccary), 92 nucleotides. Ensembl annotates it as microRNA 21. Its record names the gene MIR21. Lineage: Eukaryota; Metazoa; Chordata; Mammalia; Artiodactyla; Tayassuidae. The record is from Ensembl.
UGUACCACCUUGUCGGGUAGCUUAUCAGACUGAUGUUGACUGUUGAAUCUCAUGGCAACAGCAGUCGAUGGGCUGUCUGACAUUUUGGUAUC